Molecule: ribosomal RNA, 496 nt
Filed under: uncultured bacterium
Lineage: Bacteria
Description: partial 16S ribosomal RNA
Rfam family: Bacterial small subunit ribosomal RNA
Source: RNAcentral
GAUGAACGCUGGCGGCGUGCCUAAUACAUGCAAGUCGAGCGAACAGACGAGGAGCUUGCUCCUCUGACGUUAGCGGCGGACGGGUGAGUAACACGUGGAUAACCUACCUAUAAGACUGGGAUAACUUCGGGAAACCGGAGCUAAUACCGGAUAAUAUAUUGAACCGCAUGGUUCAAUAGUGAAAGACGGUUUUGCUGUCACUUAUAGAUGGAUCCGCGCCGCAUUAGCUAGUUGGUAAGGUAACGGCUUACCAAGGCAACGAUGCGUAGCCGACCUGAGAGGGUGAUCGGCCACACGGAAACUGAGACCCGGUCAGACUCCUACGGGAGGCAGCAGUAGGGAAUCUUCCGCAAUGGGCGAAAGCUUGACGGAGCAACGCCGCGUGAGUGAUGAAGGUCUUCGGAUCGUAAAACUCUGUUAUUAGGGAAGAACAAAUGUGUAAGUAACUAUGCACGUCUUGACGGUACCUAAUCAGAAAGCCACGGCUAACUACGUG